CUCAGUUGUCUUAGAUCUGACUCCUUCAAAGAAGUGAUUAUAAUUGAUAACUCCAGUCUCACCACAUCAGAGUUUUCACCUAUCAGUUGUGUGCAAGGAGAGUGACAGUACUGGCACACACAUCUUGGCGCUGAUGGUUCGAGAUGGCCAUAGAAUCAUAGAAUGGCCCAGGUUGAAAACGACCGCAAUGACCAUCGAGUUUCAAUGCCCCUGCUAUGUGCAGGGUCGCCAACCACCAGAGCAGGCUGCCCAGAGCCACUUCCAGCCUGGCCUUGGAUGCCCCAUCCCUGGAUGCAUUCACAACCUACUUGGGCAACCUGUUCCAGUGCAUCACCACCCUCUGGGUGAAAAACUUCCUCCUAAUAUCUAACCUAAGCCAGCCCUGUCUCAGUUUAAGACUAUUCCUCCUUAUCCUACCACUUUCCACCCUCACAAACAGCCGUUCCCCUUCCUGUUUAUACGCUUCCUUCAAGUACUGGAAGGCCACAAUGAGGUCCCCCUGGAGCCUUCUCUUCUCCAAGCUAAACAAGCCCAGUUCCCUCAACCUUUCCUCACAGGAGAGGUGCUCCUGCCCUCUGAUCAUCUUAGUGGCCCUCCUCUGGACCCGCUCCAACAGCUCCACACCCUUCCUCUACUGGGGGCCUGUAGAGCAAAUAAGGAUACGGAUAUAAGAAACUAUCGCCUUUGAAAAGGAAUAAUCAGAGAUGAACAGGAAGCUUACCCGUGUCCUGGGCUCGCCAAAAGGGCUCCAAGAGGAGUGAUCUUCAG
Molecule: long non-coding RNA, 768 nt
Filed under: Gallus gallus (chicken)
Lineage: Eukaryota; Metazoa; Chordata; Aves; Galliformes; Phasianidae
Description: lncRNA (ENSGALG00010017857.1)
Source: RNAcentral